CGCGGCCUAUCAGCUUGUUGGUGGGGUAGUGGCUUACCAAGGCUUUGACGGGUAGCCGGCCUGAGAGGGUGACCGGCCACAUUGGGACUGAGAUACGGCCCAGACUCCUACGGGAGGCAGCAGUGGGGAAUAUUGCACAAUGGGCGGAAGCCUGAUGCAGCAACGCCGCGUGCGGGAUGACGGCCUUCGGGUUGUAAACCGCUUUCGCCUGUGACGAAGCGUGAGUGACGGUAAUGGGUAAAGAAGCACCGGCUAACUACGUGCCAGCAGCCGCGGUGAUACGUAGGGUGCGAGCGUUGUCCGGAUUUAUUGGGCGUAAAGGGCUCGUAGGUGGUUGAUCGCGUCGGAAGUGUAAUCUUGGGGCUUAACCCUGAGCGUGCUUUCGAUACGGGUUGACUUGAGGAAGGUAGGGGAGAAUGGAAUUCCUGGUGGAGCGGUGGAAUGCGCAGAUAUCAGGAGGAACACCAGUGGCGAAGGCGGUUCUCUGGGCCUUUCCUGACGCUGAGGAGCGAAAGCGUGGGGAGCGAACAGGCUUAGAUACCCUGGUAGUCCACGCUGUAAACGGUGGGUACUAGGUGUGGGGUCCAUUCCACGGGUUCCGCGCCGUAGCUAACGCUUUAAGUACCCCGCCUGGGGAGUACGG
This 643-nucleotide ribosomal RNA is filed under the name uncultured bacterium. RNAcentral's name for it is "bacterial SSU rRNA". It matches the Rfam family "Bacterial small subunit ribosomal RNA", at positions 232 to 885 of the family's 1533-position model. The record is from RNAcentral. RNAcentral also lists the same sequence under 1 other name.